Molecule: ribosomal RNA, 522 nt
Filed under: Actinotignum schaalii
Lineage: Bacteria; Bacillati; Actinomycetota; Actinomycetes; Actinomycetales; Actinomycetaceae
Description: bacterial SSU rRNA
Rfam family: Bacterial small subunit ribosomal RNA
Source: RNAcentral
UGGAGAGUUUGAUCCUGGCUCAGGACGAACGCUGGCGGCGUGCUUAACACAUGCAAGUCGAACGAUGAAGCCUGCAACUUGUUGUGGGUGGAUUAGUGGCGAACGGGUGAGUAAUACGUGGGUAACCUGCCCUCCUUUUUGGGAUAAGCCUUGGAAACGGGGUCUAAUACCGAAUAUUCUGGCGCUCUCGCAUGGGGGUGUUGGGAAAGCUUUUGUGUGAAGGGGGAUGGGCUCGCGGCCUAUCAGCUUGUUGGUGGGGUGAUGGCCUACCAAGGCGGUGACGGGUAGCCGGCCUGAGAGGGUGACCGGCCACAUUGGGACUGAGAUACGGCCCAGACUCCUACGGGAGGCAGCAGUGGGGGAUAUUGCACAAUGGGCGAAAGCCUGAUGCAGCGACGCCGCGUGGGGGAUGAAGGCUUUCGGGUUGUAAACCUCUUUCGCUAUCGAACAAGGCCCGCUUAGGGUGGGUUGAGGGUAGGUGGAGAAGAAGCGCCGGCUAACUACGUGCCAGCAGCCGCGGUA